UGCAACAACCCCUCCCGGAUUUGCAACAACCCCACCAGGAUUUCAGACCCCAUAUCCGUUGCUGACCCGAAUGCCGGAACUUCAUCCCAGUUUCAAGAGGGCAAUCAGUAUAGCACUCCGAGCGGUUCGAGGAGUAAGCAAGCCAAGAUUGUAGUGCUUGAUGAUUGAGCUGAUCAACAGAUUAUUAUAAGAAAAAAGUUUGGAACUUUGGAACUCAUUUCAUAGGAUCACCAUCUAUCUCACCAGCAGUCACCCCCUUUUAGUUUUUUGUCAUAGAGUCUGGUUCAUGUGUUGUUGUGUCUUGUCGUCGGUCUCCGUCUAAUGUUUGAAUUUCUAUUCUCA
This 342-nucleotide long non-coding RNA is filed under the name Linum usitatissimum (flax). RNAcentral describes it as "long non-coding RNA (LUSI_LNC007229)". The record is from RNAcentral. Lineage: Eukaryota; Viridiplantae; Streptophyta; Magnoliopsida; Malpighiales; Linaceae.